GACGAACGCUGGCGGCGUGCCUAAUACAUGCAAGUAGAACGCUGAAGCGAGGAGCUUACUCUUCUUGGAUGAGUUGCGAACGGGUGAGUAACGCGUAGGUAACCUGCCUUGUAGCGGGGGAUAACUAUUGGAGACGAUAGCUAAUACCGCAUAACAAUGGAUGACACAUGUCAUUUAUUUGAAAGGGGCAAUUGCUCCACUACAAGAUGGACCUGCGUUGUAUUAGCUAGUAGGUGAGGUAAUGGCUCACCUAGGCGACGAUACAUAGCCGACCUGAGAGGGUGAUCGGCCACACUGGGACUGAGACACGGCCCAGACUCCUACGGGAGGCAGCAGUAGGGAAUCUUCGGCAAUGGGGGCAACCCUGACCGAGCAACGCCGCGUGAGUGAAGAAGGUUGUCGGAUCGUAAAGCUCUGUUGUAAGUCAAGAACGGGUGUGAGAGUGGAAAGUUCACACUGUGACGGUAGCUUACCAGAAAGGGACGGCUAACUACGUG
Molecule: ribosomal RNA, 497 nt
Filed under: uncultured bacterium
Lineage: Bacteria
Description: partial 16S ribosomal RNA
Rfam family: Bacterial small subunit ribosomal RNA
Source: RNAcentral